RNAcentral lists this ribosomal RNA (254 nucleotides) under uncultured bacterium. RNAcentral describes it as "partial 16S ribosomal RNA". It matches the Rfam family "Bacterial small subunit ribosomal RNA", at positions 524 to 776 of the family's 1533-position model. The record is from RNAcentral.
UACGGGGGGGGCAAGCGUUGUUCGGAAUUACUGGGCGUAAAGGGCUCGUAGGCGGCCAACUAAGUCAGACGUGAAAUCCCUCGGCUUAACCUGGGAACUGCAUCCGAUACUGGAUGGAUUGAAUCCGGGAGAGGGAUGCAGAAUUCCAGGUGUAGCGGUGAAAUGCGUAGAUAUCUGGAGGAAUACCGGUGGCGAAGGCGGCAUCCUGGACCGGCAUUGACGCUGAGUGAGCGAAAGCCAGGGGAGCAAACGGG